AGUGAACGCUGGCGGUAGGCCUAACACAUGCAAGUCGAACGGCAGCACAGUAAGAGCUUGCUCUUACGGGUGGCGAGUGGCGGACGGGUGAGGAAUACAUCGGAAUCUACUUUUUCGUGGGGGAUAACGUAGGGAAACUUACGCUAAUACCGCAUACGACCUACGGGUGAAAGUAGGGGAUCUUCGGACCUUGCGCGAUUGAAUGAGCCGAUGUCGGAUUAGCUAGUUGGCGGGGUAAAGGCCCACCAAGGCGACGAUCCGUAGCUGGUCUGAGAGGAUGAUCAGCCACACUGGAACUGAGACACGGUCCAGACUCCUACGGGAGGCAGCAGUGGGGAAUAUUGGACAAUGGACGCAAGCCUGAUCCAGCCAUACCGCGUGGGUGAAGAAGGCCUUCGGGUUGUAAAGCCCUUUUGUUGGGAAAGAAAAGCAGCAGGUUAAUACCCCGCUGUUCUGACAGUACCCAAAGAAUGAGCACCGGCUAACUUCGUG
Molecule: ribosomal RNA, 492 nt
Filed under: uncultured bacterium
Lineage: Bacteria
Description: partial 16S ribosomal RNA
Rfam family: Bacterial small subunit ribosomal RNA
Source: RNAcentral